Molecule: ribosomal RNA, 365 nt
Filed under: uncultured Glomeraceae
Lineage: Eukaryota; Fungi; Glomeromycota; Glomeromycetes; Glomerales; Glomeraceae
Description: partial large subunit ribosomal RNA
Source: RNAcentral
CAGUCGUACCUUCGGGUAAUCAGCCUUUCGGGUGCGAUUCUGUGGAGUGUGAGGAGUUAAACACCUUCAUGUUUUGCAUAUUCGUACUCUUGGGUGUACUUGCCCGUGUGGUUGGUUAACAUCAAUUUUGGUGGUCAUAAAAUGACUGGAGGAAUGUAGCUUCGAUCUCGUAUUGAAGUGUUAUAGCCUUCGGUAGAUGUGAUGAUCGAGAUUGAGGAUUGCGACGGAUACCCUUCGGGGCUACCUGUCUGGUCUCUGAUCGUUGCUCUGGUGCCGAAAGCUUGCUUACGGUUAUCAAAGUCGAUGGUCAAUAGGUUAGAACGGGUUAAAUUCGUUAAGGAUGUUGACGUAAUGGCUUUAAACGA